GGGGGGGGGGGGGCAGCAUGGAUGUCACAUCCCCCUCUUCAGAAAACUGGAGCAGGAAGCGGAAAGGAACGAGUUUAAAUGCUCUUUUGUGUUGAUGUUUUGAGCUGUUUAACGUUAAUUUGUCAAGCAAUUUAGAGCUAUUUGACAUCUAUUUAAUUAAAGAUUACAGGUCUCUUUGAAAAGCUGCCAAUACUAAGGGGGAAAUAACAGGAAAUCGACAUGAACCUAGAGCGCCUUCCAAAUGAGGAGAAACUCACCCUCUGCAGGAAAUACUAUUUAGGGGGAUUUGCAUUCCUUCCAUUCCUGUGGCUGGUGAAUGUGGUGUGGUUUUUCAAAGAGGCCUUUGUAAAGCCAACAUAUACUGAACAACUCCAGAUCAAAACAUAUGUAAAGCGUUCAGGGCUGGGGUUGCUACUGUGGGUUGCAGUACUCACCACAUGGAUAACCAUAUUCCAACACUUCAGAGCAGAAUGGGGUGAGGUGGGCGACUACCUCUCCUUCACCAUUCCACUUGGCAUUCCCUGAGACAGACAAGGCGGGAAACAAGAAAGCUUCCUACUGUAUAAAACUUGACCAUGACAGAAUUAAUAGACAAAUAUAACAGGUUGAAAUAGUUAAAUGUGUAGUUGAUCUCAAUGGAUAAUCAUAGUAAUUUUUUCUGGGCUUUAAUGAGUGGGAAGAUGUCUUGUGAACACUGCACCUUUUUCCCAAAAUUGUGUGUAGUGUGUGGAUGUCUCAACGCGUUUGAGUAAAUUUGGAAGGUUAAACAGGCGAAUGGCAUGUAUGACAAAAAUAAAUGGCAAAUUCAUAAACGUUCUAAAUUAAAUGGAAGUGUAUGCUUUAUUUGCUGUAAUAAAGUUUUGAGCUUAUAUGCUAGAUCGUGGUCUAGUGUGCAUUUCAUUAGACAUUUGGCUCCUUUUGAUAACAAUAUCCAAUUAGCUUUGUGUUUAGUAAGUCAGUAUUUGUGUAACACUGCUCACGAUAACAACAUACUUAUUCCAGAUCAUUUAUUCAUAUACUCCUUUGUACUCUCACAGUGUAAACAAUUCAGACAGUGAUGAGAUAUUUGCCAGUAAAGUACUUUAUGAUUGCAGCAUUAUGAUUAAGUCCUUAAAUGAGGUCUGCCUUAGGCCAAUCUCUUAUUAUGAAACUCAAUGCCUCUGUAGCAAAUGUUACCACCCCUCCUCUUCAGAAUCAUGGUUGAUGCUGUUUUUAGGUACUCAGUCAAAGACUACUUCUAUUACCAACCAAUGCCAUCGCAGACACAUCAUCCCACCAGCUCCAGUACUUAACACAUGUCCAUUGAGUGCCAGGGUUGUAUAAGUCACACAACUGUCUGCUCUAAAUGGGGUCAAGAGGCAGUGGAUGUAAACCCAAAUCAGAUGUGUGUGAUGGAUGGUCAUAAGAUACCCAAUCGAUGAGGUGCUAAGACUUGUGACAUGCUGGAGGCUUAUAUGACAUUGUUGUGCAUGUGGUGUCAAUGUAAUUGUAGAACAUGAUGUUCACCCUGCAUGUCAUAAUGACCUAAGGUAGUUUUAAUACGCCCCCAUUCCUAUCCAGGACAAAGUGGCUCGGGGAGACUGGCCAACAUUAGUCACGGAUUUGUUCAUCCCUCUGUUUGGGAUUUCUAUCUCUAGAAAUGACAGAAUUUUAAAAAUAUUGAAUAAUUUUCCAAAUAUAUGCCAAUGUGAUUGAAGAUUAGUGUGCUUAACACCUGCUUCACAUUGAUCAAAAGAUCGUUACAUAAACAAUGUAACAGAAAAAUCUGAAGUAUGUAGACCUAUAAAAUAAAUAUUGUAACAUCUUUAAUAUUCCAGUGUUUGGGAAAAUAUCUUUACAUGGUGUGACAUUGACAAUGUUUGUGACCUUGUUCAACCUCUGUUUAAUAAAGGGAGGUAGAAGAUAAUAAUCCCCAUUCCCCAAUUAUUAACCCGGGAUAAACACCGUUUAUACAGUGUAGGCCUAAUGGAUAAUCAUUUUAAGCCUGUCAGAAAAUAAAAUUGCAAUAUCUAAUAACUUUUCAAGGAAUCUGUAACAGCAAUUAUUGAGCAGUCCAGUCCGUUAUGCAGUGUAUCCCUAGAAGGAAGAGUCUGAACUGUUGCCUGGCAGAACACUGUAUUCAGAUUACCGCUUUUGGCUGUGUUGAAUGCCAAUUGCCAAAUCACCAAAAGGGGCUCCACCAGAGCUCCCAACAGUUGUCAAGGAAAACAACUAUGUUAGGUUAAUUAAAAAGGUGCAUGAGAUGGAAACAUUCCUAUUAUCACACAUACAUACACUGGCAUGUGAAUAUUGCCACGUUUACGUGGUAGUCGGAACUAGGAAACUAAAAUUCCCGACUUGCUAACUGGUCGUGGUUACAGUAUGCAAUCAGUUAGCAAAUCAGACAUUUACGAGUUUCCUAGUUCUGACUAACACUUGAACGCGGCAUAUCACCCUUUACUGGCACAUGCUGUCUGGCACGGAUGCACUGUUUGGGGGGUUCAACCCUUUGUAUCAUAAAUACAGACCUUAACUGCACUUCCACAAUUUAUGUCAGGGAAAAGGGCAGAGUCAGAUACACGGACGCAGCAAUCCAUCCUAUUGGCAGUCAGAACAUAAUACGAUUUGCAGGCAUCUCAUAACGACGAGAAAUGGACUUCGAUCUGCCACCCAGUUUUCCAGCCAGUGGUAUCGCAUGGGAGAGGGUCCUGCCGCCUCUUCUUCCCGGGCAGAACGGGACAUUCGGGCUGUACUCAUUCACGCCGUCGGAGCUGCUCACCCCAGUGACAGAGCACACUGGCCCUGCACAGGUGUGUUGUGACCACAGUAGAUUCACAGUUCAGGUUGAUGUGAAACACUUCAACCCAGAGGAGCUGAUGGUCAAGGUGACAGGAGACUUUGUGUAGGUCCAAGGGAAACACAAAGAUAAAAAAGAUGGGUCGGGGGUGGUGACGCGAUAGUUCAACCGACGCUACAGGAUUCCAGAGGGAGUGGACUCCAUGGCUCUGUAGUCGGCUGUGUCGCCUGAAGGCUUCCUCAUCAUAUCUGCCCCUAUGCUGCAGGGGGAGAACUCCAGACACCUGUCCCACUCAGAAUCAUGAGCAUACACACCCUAGGAAUAAACACACAAUCCAUAGGAACCAGUGUUGGGGAGUAGUAAACUACAUGUAAUUUAACUACAUUUUGCAGUAGAUGGUGGCAGUUCAAAUCUUGGUAGUAUUUAGUAGUUAACUUCUUUUUUUGCCAUGUAGCUAACUACUGGGAUUACACUACUUUUUUUGCAAAUAGAAAAUUAAUUAUGGGUGUAGUAAGCAAUAAUUUCCUUUCUUUUUCGGUAUUACUCCUUUCUAGUUCUCACUUGAAACAUAGUUGUUUAGUAUGCUAAAUUACACAUUCUGUUAACAUCUUACUCCAGAGUGAACUGUUCUUGCAAUUUGUAGUCUGACAUUUCAAACUUAAAUAUGAUCAUUUAUCACAAAGUAGUUUGAUGUAGUGAACUCUUUUCAAAUGCAUUUUAGUUAAAGAAAAUAAAAAUGUAGUUAAGGGUAACUUUAUUGUGGCUUAACUUCUUCCAGUGUGAAGUAAUUGGUAGCUUGGUAAACUAUGCACACACAAAAAUACAGGCACUCUCCUCCAACAGACAUAUCAAACACUCACCAAGGAACUGGUGCCUGCCUGUACCAAAACACCCAUUAACUACGCCAUCACACCAUUAAAAUUCCCUGCUCUCUCUCUGAGGUUUGUACAUAUUAACAGGACAGAUUCCUCAUUUAAAAGCAUCCCUCAUCCUAAAGAAUCCCAUUUAACUCAAUCUUAAAAUGUUUUUAUGGAACCGUUCAUUGUAAAUAUGAUAUAAAACCAUUGAAAAUUAUGAUUUGUAUUGUGUGGAGUGUCUAAUGCCCUCUAAGUCAUGAGUAAAUGUUUUAACACUCCGAGAUUAUCAAGUAUGUUCACAAAACCCAACAGUAAGGUUGUUGUAUAUUUUCUAACUAUUUAUUGUAAGAAGAGAAUUAGUUCAAAAUAAAUGCACUAUAUAUUUUUGUACAAAAA
Molecule: non-coding RNA, 4029 nt
Organism: Oncorhynchus mykiss (rainbow trout)
Lineage: Eukaryota; Metazoa; Chordata; Actinopteri; Salmoniformes; Salmonidae
Source: RefSeq, a predicted model, not a curated record